ACUUUUAAAGGAUAAAAGUA
RNAcentral lists this transfer RNA (20 nucleotides) under Phrynosoma douglasii (pigmy short-horned lizard). RNAcentral's name for it is "partial tRNA-Leu". RNAcentral also lists the same sequence under 2 other names. Lineage: Eukaryota; Metazoa; Chordata; Lepidosauria; Squamata; Phrynosomatidae. The record is from RNAcentral.